This 852-nucleotide long non-coding RNA is filed under the name Mytilus galloprovincialis (Mediterranean mussel). The record is from RNAcentral. Lineage: Eukaryota; Metazoa; Mollusca; Bivalvia; Mytilida; Mytilidae.
UUUACUUUACAAUUCCUUUCAUUUUUGUUUGUGUAUGUAGGUUUUGUUAAUUUUUUUUUUUAUCUUUUUAAGGUUGAUUUAAUUCAGCUGCAAUACCAAUAAAUGAAUAUGCAAAAUUAUUUCGAUAACACAACAUCUUCUUUACUAAAUUUAAUUUCUUAUAUCUAAACUUACUAGUUCCAUUGAAAAUUCCAGAAGAAGAAACUCUGUAAACUGUUUUUAAAGUUAGGUUUUCAAAUUUUCCAGCACAACCAAUCGAGGAGUUAACCAUAUCGAUUUUAUUGAUGUAAUACCAGAUAAACCGUGAACAAAUAUCAUUAUUCGAACAACUUCCUUCUGGGCAUAAACACGUGCCGUUAACGCUUCGCAUGUCAUUAAAAGUCUUAUUGUCAACAAGUAUCUCAACGUUACAUCUCAUAAAAGCCGUUGUUGAUGAACAAAUCAUUUUGAAAUGAUUUUGAUUGGUUGUUUCGUUUCUAAAUACCUCAGCCAUGAUUGUGAUAUCAGGAUAACUAUCUGUGGAUUAAUGUUUAAAAAUGAAAGAUCGACAGAUCAAUCGAAACAUGCUUUUCGAAUGAAAUUAAAAAUGUAACACAUUGAAUAGUUUAAGAAAAGAAAAUAAUAUUGAUAAGAUGAACACAUCUUGUUUUAUCUUAUUAGUUAUGAACACCAGUAUACUUUUCAAUAUUGUAACAAUAAUCCUUGAACUCAACAAUACUUGAUGCAUUGAUUGUUUUUGGCCCUAGUACUUCUGAUAUGGUAUCAGAUUCAUAAUCCUCUUCUCUGCUGUAAUAAGAUAUAUCUUAGGAAUAAUUCACAUGAAAAUCUGAAAGACAAACAAACUUAUUGUUU